RNAcentral lists this ribosomal RNA (90 nucleotides) under Salmonella enterica subsp. enterica serovar Kentucky. Lineage: Bacteria; Pseudomonadati; Pseudomonadota; Gammaproteobacteria; Enterobacterales; Enterobacteriaceae. The record is from RNAcentral.
CCUGGCGGCACUAGCGCGGUGGUCCCACCUGACCCCAUGCCGAACUCAGAAGUGAAACGCCGUAGCGCCGAUGGUAGGCGUGUGCGGGCG